CCUACGGGGUGCAGCAGUGGGGAAUCUUGCACAAUGGGGGAAACCCUGAUGCAGCGACGCCGCGUGAGUGAAGAAGUAUUUCGGUAUGUAAAGCUCUAUCAGCAGGGAAGAAAAUGACGGUACCUGAUUAAGAAGCCCCGGCUAACUACGUGCCAGCAGCCGCGGUAAUACGUAGGGGGCAAGCGUUAUCCGGAUUUACUGGGUGGAAAGGGAGGUGAGACGGCAGCACAAGUCUGGAGUGAAAUGCCGGGGCUUAACCCCGGAACUGCUUGGGAAACUGUGCAGCUAGAGUGCAGGAGAGGUAAGUGGAAUUCCUAGUGUAGCGGUGAAAUGCGUAGAUAUUAGGAGGAACACCAGUGGCGAAGGCGGCUUACUGGACUGUAACUGACGUUGAGGCUCGAAAGCGUGGGGAGCAAACAGGAUUAGAUACCCUAGUAGUC
RNAcentral lists this ribosomal RNA (440 nucleotides) under uncultured bacterium. RNAcentral's name for it is "partial 16S ribosomal RNA". It matches the Rfam family "Bacterial small subunit ribosomal RNA", at positions 338 to 795 of the family's 1533-position model. The record is from RNAcentral.